This 328-nucleotide ribosomal RNA is filed under the name uncultured eukaryote. Its description in RNAcentral is "partial 18S ribosomal RNA". It matches the Rfam family "Eukaryotic small subunit ribosomal RNA", at positions 1470 to 1796 of the family's 1831-position model. The record is from RNAcentral.
CCCUUAGAUGUCCUGGGCCGCACGCGCGCUACACUGGUGCAUGCAACGAGUUUAUAACCUUGGCCUGAAAGGUCUGGGUAAUCUUUUGAACGUGCAUCGUGAUAGGGAUAGAUUAUUGCAAUUGUUAAUCUUGAACGAGGAAUUCCUAGUAAACGCGAGUCAUCAGCUCGCAUUGAUUACGUCCCUGCCCUUUGUACACACCGCCCGUCGCACCUACCGAUUGAAUGGUUCGGUGAAGAUCUCGGACUUCGAUAUUUAUUCUUUAUUGAGUUUAUAUUGUGGGAAGUUAUCUAAACCUCAUCAUUUAGAGGAAGGUGAAGUCGUAACA